UCCGGUGGCCUUAGCGAGAGAGAAACACCCGUUCCCAUCCCGAACACGGAAGUUAAGCCUCUCAGCGCCGAUGGUACUGCGAUAGAGAUGUCGUGGGAGAGUAGGACGCCGCCGGGA
This 117-nucleotide ribosomal RNA is filed under the name Nitrospinota bacterium. Lineage: Bacteria; Pseudomonadati; Nitrospinota. The record is from RNAcentral.